CUAAGAAUAUUCCGCAAUGGACGGAAGUCUGACGGAGCGACGCCGCGUGGAUGACGAAGGCCGAAAGGUUGUAAAGCUCUUUUGCUGGGGAAGAAUAACCGCAGGAGGGAAUGCCUGUGGGAUGACAAGAACCGGCGAAUAAGCCCCGGCCAACUACGUGCCAGCAGCCGCGGUAACACGUAGGGGGCGAGCGUUGUUCGGAAUUACUGGGCGUAAAGGGCAUGUAGGCGGCUUGGAAAGUCUGGCGUGAAAGUCUGCAGCUUAACUGCAGGGGUGCGCUGGGAACUGCUGAGCUUGAGUGACGGAGAGGGAGCUGGAAUUCCUGGUGUAGGGGUGAAAUCUGUAGAUAUCAGGAAGAACACCGAUGGCGAAGGCAAGCUCCUGGCCGAUGACUGACGCUGAGGUGCGAAAGUGUGGGGAUCAAACAGGAUUAGAUACCCUGGUAGUCCACACAGUCAACGAUGUGCACUAGGUGCUGGGGCGGUAGCUUCGGUGCCGGAGCGAACGUGGUGAAGUGCACCGCCUGGGGAGUAUGCUCGCAAGGGUGAAACUC
RNAcentral lists this ribosomal RNA (553 nucleotides) under uncultured bacterium. Its description in RNAcentral is "partial 16S ribosomal RNA". It matches the Rfam family "Bacterial small subunit ribosomal RNA", at positions 355 to 902 of the family's 1533-position model. The record is from RNAcentral.